CGAAAACAGAGCCUUUGCUCUCAACUCUCUCUCUCGCUUCACCGACCACCAGGCAGCACCACAUCUCCUCCCACCCCUUCAAGACGAUCGUGCGCAGCUGCAGGAGGCGGCCUUGCGCUGCAGAACCACCGGAGACGACGGCGGAGGCCGAAAAAAUCCGUUUUUGUUCCAAGCUUGAUAACUCGAGCUACCGGCCACGAAACCUUCCCAAACUUCACCCACAGGUUCGCCUUGACCUUCUGGAACUCCCAGAACCUCCCUUGCACGGCGUCGCUGCCUCUGGAAGCGGCUGGAACUCGAACCCGGUUGCACCGAAAACUUCGAUCAGAAGGAAUCGAGGCCUGAGGUUGCAUUUUUUACGUCGAACUUGGAGCUCGCCGGUUUCUGGGUUUUUUUCCGGCCAACCCGACUGUUUGAGGUGAUUAACGGUUUUUACUUGGGCGAGCGAGUUUUGGUGUGAUUGUGAGAGUGAAGACGCAGCGGGAUCAGAGCGGGUAAUCCUACAGGACAGAAGAAUCAGGAAGGAGAUCGAGCUGUGUAGAGUAGCUGCAUGUAAUACUCUGUUUUUUCUAUUGAGAGGUUUGUUAUGCUCAUUUAGAGCUUUACAAUCUUACUUGUAAGAGUGAGUUGUAAUAAUUAACUCGAGGUUUUCGAGAUUGAA
This is a long non-coding RNA of Rosa chinensis, 661 nucleotides long. RefSeq lists it as uncharacterized. The transcript has 4 exons. Lineage: Eukaryota; Viridiplantae; Streptophyta; Magnoliopsida; Rosales; Rosaceae. The record is from RefSeq and is a predicted model, not a curated record.